UACGUAGGGUCCGAGCGUUGUCCGGAAUUAUUGGGCGUAAAGGGCUCGUAGGCGGUUUGUCGCGUCGGGAGUGAAAACACGGGGCUUAACCCCGUGCCUGCUUCCGAUACGGGCAGACUGGAGUACUGCAGGGGAGACUGGAAUUCCUGGUGUAGCGGUGGAAUGCGCAGAUAUCAGGAGGAACACCGGUGGCGAAGGCGGGUCUUUGGGCAGUAACUGACGCUGAGGAGCGAAAGCGUGGGGAGCGAACAGG
Molecule: ribosomal RNA, 253 nt
Filed under: uncultured bacterium
Lineage: Bacteria
Description: partial 16S ribosomal RNA
Rfam family: Bacterial small subunit ribosomal RNA
Source: RNAcentral